CCUACGGGUGGCAGCAGUGAGGAAUAUUGGUCAAUGGACGAGAGUCUGAACCAGCCAAGUAGCGUGAAGGAUGACUGCCCUAUGGGUUGUAAACUUCUUUUAUAUGGGAAUAAAAUGUUCCACGUGUGGGAUUUUGUAUGUACCAUAUGAAUAAGGAUCGGCUAACUCCGUGCCAGCAGCCGCGGUAAUACGGAGGGUCCGAGCGUUAUCCGGAUUUAUUGGGUUUAACGGGAGCGUAGGUGGAUUGUUAAGGCAGGUGUGAAAGUUUGCGGCUCAACCGUAAAAUUGCAGUUGAAACUGGCAGUCUUGAGUACAGGAGAGGUGGGCGGAAUUCGUGGUGUAGCGGUGAAAUGCUUAGAUAUCACGAAGAACUCCGAUUGCGAAGGCAGUUCACUGGACUGCAACUGACACUGAGGCUCGAAAGUGUGGGUAUCAAACAGGAUUAGAUACCCCUGUAGUC
RNAcentral lists this ribosomal RNA (460 nucleotides) under uncultured bacterium. Its description in RNAcentral is "partial 16S ribosomal RNA". It matches the Rfam family "Bacterial small subunit ribosomal RNA", at positions 338 to 795 of the family's 1533-position model. The record is from RNAcentral.